GCCGACGUAGCUCAACGGUAGAGCACAGCUUUCGUAAAGCUGAGGUUGUGGGUUCGAAUCCCACCGUCGGCU
This 72-nucleotide transfer RNA is filed under the name Phycisphaerae bacterium. Its description in RNAcentral is "tRNA-Thr". It matches the Rfam family "tRNA". From Rfam's summary of the family: Transfer RNA (tRNA) molecules are approximately 80 nucleotides in length. The record is from RNAcentral. Lineage: Bacteria; Pseudomonadati; Planctomycetota; Phycisphaerae. RNAcentral also lists the same sequence under 1 other name.